This 338-nucleotide long non-coding RNA is filed under the name Homo sapiens (human). RNAcentral's name for it is "HSALNT0115108". Lineage: Eukaryota; Metazoa; Chordata; Mammalia; Primates; Hominidae. The record is from RNAcentral.
AAUAAGGUCAUGCUUCAGAGAAGUGUCUGAAGUCCUGCAUGCUAUUUUACUAGCAAUACCGUUUCGAAGAAUAAGGUCAUGCUUCAGAGAAAUGUCUGCUUUUCCACAAUCAAAGAAGUAGAAAGAAAAUGCCUUUUGCUGGGAUUUCUUGUUCAGUUAAAACUUGUGCAGGAAUUCCAUCCAUUAGCACCGAGAGAAAGUGGCAGAAGGUGUUAAGAAAAAUGGCUGGCCGGGCGCGGUGGCUCACGCCUGUAAUCCCAGCACUCUGGGAGGCCGAGGCAGGUGGAUCAUGAGGUCAGGAGAUCGAGACCAUCCUGGCUAACAAGGUGAAACCCUGU